RNAcentral lists this long non-coding RNA (628 nucleotides) under Equus asinus (donkey). Its description in RNAcentral is "lncRNA (ENSEASG00005027449.1)". The record is from RNAcentral. Lineage: Eukaryota; Metazoa; Chordata; Mammalia; Perissodactyla; Equidae.
CAGAAACAGUCAGCGCGGAGAGGACUGUGCAGCAGCUUCCAGGAACUGCCUCACUCAUGCUUUGAUAUUCAUCCUCUGCAGAAAUCUGCUCAUCUCUGCAGCUUCAAAGCAGCACGCAGGAAUCAGAGAUGCUUACAUCAGCAGGAGACCUGGGAGAUGUUCUAUGGCAUCUCUGCCAUCGUACAGGGCUGGAGGGACUGGCCGGGCCUUCAGUGGAAAGGACAGGUGUUGCCAGGGCCCCCAAGUGAAAGCUACCACAGAGGCACCCAGAGAUGAAUAAUCAUGGGAACCACACUUCCCUUCAUCAAGAUUAGCCUAGGGUUGGAUGUGUGACUCAAUUCCAGCUAGGAAGACAGAGAAGUCUGUUGGGGACCUGGUGAAUGUUUUUUCCCUUUAAGAAAAAAUCUGGAGCCUUCUGUUUUCCAUCUUGGAACAUAACUGUGAAGAUGUAGAGCUUGGAAUUGUAGCAGCCAUGUAGUGACUACAAGGUGACAAGCCUGAGGAUAGAAGCUGAAAGGCCAGUUAGGGAGAAGCUAUGUUCUUGACGAUAUCAUUGAGCCUUGGUCAGAACCAGUCCUGGAAUGGCCAACCUCCAGACUUCUUGUUAUUGCAGAUAAAUAAAGGUUUA